AAUGAACGUUGGCGGCGUGGAUUAGGCAUGCAAGUCGUGCGGGCCCGAAAGGGCCAGCGGCGAAAGGGAUAGUAACGCGUGGACAACCAACCCUCGGGACUGGGAUAGCCUCGCCAUAGCAAUAUGGCUCGGGAAACUGGGGUUAGUACCAGAUAACGUCUCCGGACCAAAGGUGUGAUUCCGCCUGAGGACGGGUCCGCGUCCUAUUAGGUAGUUGGUGAGGUAACGGCCCACCAAGCCUGAGAUGGGUAGCGGGUGUGAGAGCACGACCCGCAUCACUGGGACUGAGACACUGCCCAGACACCUACGGGUGGCUGCAGUCGAGAAUCUUCGUCAAUGGGCGCAAGCCUGAACGAGCGACGCCGCGUGCGGGAUGAAGGCCUUCGGUUGUAAACCGCUGUCAGUGGGAGGAAAUGCUGGAGGGUUCUCCUCCAGUUUGACCUAUCCGCAGAGGAAGUACGGGCUAAGUUCGUG
This 474-nucleotide ribosomal RNA is filed under the name uncultured bacterium. RNAcentral describes it as "bacterial SSU rRNA". It matches the Rfam family "Bacterial small subunit ribosomal RNA", at positions 29 to 507 of the family's 1533-position model. The record is from RNAcentral.